This is a long non-coding RNA of Carcharodon carcharias (great white shark), 623 nucleotides long. RefSeq lists it as uncharacterized. The transcript is spliced from 3 exons. NCBI's taxonomy places the organism in Eukaryota, Metazoa, Chordata, Chondrichthyes, Lamniformes, Lamnidae. The record is from RefSeq and is a predicted model, not a curated record.
CGUGGGUGAAGAAGCGACAUCAGGUGGUUCGCUCGCACAAAACAGCAGCUCAAGGCGGCUCGACCUUUUAACACGAACUGAGAGAUUUCCAAUACCUGCAGUAUUUUGCUUUUGUGGUAACGAUCUGCAUUGGAUUCACAUUGAUCAAAUCUGAAAACAUUAGACAGUAUGAUAGUCUAAGAAGAGUCCAACACCAAACCCGCAGCCCAUGCGUCCUAACUCUAAGGCUGAGGAUACAGUUUGUUAAUUUGAGGAUUCGCUCAUCCAUAUUUCAAUGGGAUUUCCCUGGCAUUUUCAGGAGGCUUUCUGGUUAGGUUACUCAACUGCCCAUUGAUGCCAUCUACUGCCCUUGCAUAGCAGCUUUAACACCCGACCUGACACCAGUAACUAUGGCACGGGUAUUUGUUAGGCAACUGACAACAAAGACAUUUUUAUUAAACGUUAAGUAUGAAUUAAUGAUUGCAAUAAUCCCAGCAAUAAAUUUUUUGUAAUUAAGUUACAAAACACAUUGUUAGUAGCAAUACUAAGAUGCUUUGUGAUAUGCUGUAGUUCUUGUGCCUUGUGCAAUCCAAAUGUGAAUUCCAACAUGACUUGUACAGUUGAGAUGACAAAAUCUAAUCUAA